AUAUCAGUCAUGCAUAGCAUAUCAAUAAGCGGAGGAAAAGAAACUAACAAGGAUUCCCUUAGUAACGGCGAGUGAAGCGGGAAGAGCUCAAAUUUGAAAUCUUCAAGGUUCUACCUUGACGAAUUGUAGUUUAUAGAAGUGUUUUCUGUUAGUGGAGUGGCAAAAGUUCUUUGGAAUAGGACAUCAUAGAGGGUGAGAAUCCCGUAUUUGGUCAUUCCUUCCUAGCGUUGUGAUACACUUUCAACGAGUCGGAUUGUUUGGGAAUGCAGUCCAAAAUGGGUGGUAAAUUUCAUCUAAAGCUAAAUAUUGGCGAGAGACCGAUAGCGAACAAGUACCGUGAGGGAAAGAUGAAAAGAACUUUGAAAAGAGAGUUAAACAGUACGUGAAAUUGUCAAAAGGGAAGCGUUUGACACCAGUGUUGUUUUUCCGAAAAUCAAUUACGAAUGUUUUAGUUUUUAAGAAGUUAUGACUUCAUCGGCUUGCUUCUCUCUUUAUGAAACUUUCUUAAUGCACUUUUCGGUUAACAAGUCAACAGUCAAUUUCUUUUGUUGUAAAAGGGUAUGAGGAUGGUGGCUUUCUUUUCGGAGAAAGUGUUUAUAGCCUUGUAGCCUCUGCAAUCGGAGAGAUUGAGGUCUGCAGCGUAGAUCCUUCGGGGUUAGAUACGUUUGUGCUAAGUUAUAGCUUUUCAUAGACAACUUGUUGACUAUGUUUAGUCUUGUAGCUUACUCGCUGAUGCUAUUUUACCUACGCUUAGGAUGUUGAUCUCUCACAGUCGAGC
RNAcentral lists this ribosomal RNA (778 nucleotides) under uncultured Neocallimastigales. Its description in RNAcentral is "partial large subunit ribosomal RNA". It matches the Rfam family "Eukaryotic large subunit ribosomal RNA", at positions 22 to 645 of the family's 3401-position model. The record is from RNAcentral. Lineage: Eukaryota; Fungi; Neocallimastigomycota; Neocallimastigomycetes; Neocallimastigales.